RNAcentral lists this ribosomal RNA (253 nucleotides) under uncultured bacterium. RNAcentral's name for it is "partial 16S ribosomal RNA". It matches the Rfam family "Bacterial small subunit ribosomal RNA", at positions 524 to 776 of the family's 1533-position model. The record is from RNAcentral.
UACGAAGGGGGCUAGCGUUGCUCGGAAUCACUGGGCGUAAAGCGCACGUAGGCGGGUUGCUAAGUCAGGGGUGAAAUCCUGGAGCUCAACUCCAGAACUGCCCUUGAUACUGGCGGCCUUGAGUCCGGGAGAGGUGAGUGGAACUGCGAGUGUAGAGGUGAAGUUCGUAGAUAUUCGCAAGAACACCAGUGGCGAAGGCGCCUCACUGGCCCGGUACUGACGCUGAGGUGCGAAAGCGUGGGGAGCAAACAGG